Molecule: ribosomal RNA, 105 nt
Filed under: Tricholoma auratum
Lineage: Eukaryota; Fungi; Basidiomycota; Agaricomycetes; Agaricales; Tricholomataceae
Description: 5.8S ribosomal RNA
Rfam family: 5.8S ribosomal RNA
About the family: 5.8S ribosomal RNA (5.8S rRNA) is a component of the large subunit of the eukaryotic ribosome. It is transcribed by RNA polymerase I as part of the 45S precursor that also contains 18S and 28S rRNA. Functionally, it is thought that 5.8S rRNA may be involved in ribosome translocation.
Source: RNAcentral
AUACAACUUUCAACAACGGAUCUCUUGGCUCUCGCAUCGAUGAAGAACGCAGCGAAAUGCGAUAAGUAAUGUGAAUUGCAGAGUUCAGUGAAUCAUCGAAUCUUU